CGUAGGUGGCAAGCGUUGUCCGGAUUUAUUGGGUUUAAAGGGUGCGUAGGCGGCCCUGUAAGUCAGUGGUGAAAUAUCUCAGCUUAACUGAGAGGGUGCCAUUGAUACUGCAGGGCUUGAGUACAGAUGAGGUAGGCGGAAUUGACGGUGUAGCGGUGAAAUGCAUAGAUAUCGUCAAGAACACCGAUAGCGAAGGCAGCUUACCAAGCUGUAACUGACGCUGAGGCACGAAAGUGUGGGGAUCAAACAGGAUUAGAUACCCUGGUAGUCCACACUGUAAACGUUGAUGACUCGAUGUUGGCGAUACACAGCCAGCGUCCAAGAGCAAUCGUUAAGUCAUCCACCUGGGGAGUACGCCGGCAACGGUG
This 368-nucleotide ribosomal RNA is filed under the name uncultured organism. Its description in RNAcentral is "bacterial SSU rRNA". It matches the Rfam family "Bacterial small subunit ribosomal RNA", at positions 526 to 896 of the family's 1533-position model. The record is from RNAcentral.